This 262-nucleotide unclassified non-coding RNA is filed under the name Glomus sp. RNAcentral's name for it is "partial contains 5.8S ribosomal RNA and internal transcribed spacer 2". The stretch from base 1 to 65 matches the Rfam family "5.8S ribosomal RNA", at positions 84 to 154 of the family's 154-position model. Lineage: Eukaryota; Fungi; Glomeromycota; Glomeromycetes; Glomerales; Glomeraceae. The record is from RNAcentral.
GUGAAUCAUCGAAUUUUUGAACGCAAAUUGCACUCUCUUCGGAGAGUAUGCCUGUUUGAGGGUCAGCCUAUAAAAAAUCGACAUCGUUGCUGUUUCGCGGUGGCGUUCGUCGGAAAUUGGGUCAUCUUAAAUCCUUGUGAUUUAAGCUUCUUAAAAUUUUCUAUGGGUUCCAUUAACUUUUCUAAUUUCUAUUUCUUUACACUUUUACGUUAUGGCUUUUUACUAGACGUGACCAUCAUAUCAGAUCGCUUCCAUAUUUUUU